GAUGAACGCUGGCGGCGUGCUUAACACAUGCAAGUCGAACGAAGCACUUUAUUUGAUUUCCUUCGGGACUGAUUAUUUUGUGACUGAGUGGCGGACGGGUGAGUAACGCGUGGGUAACCUGCCUUGUACAGGGGGAUAACAGUUGGAAACGGCUGCUAAUACCGCAUAAGCGCACGGCAUCGCAUGAUGCAGUGUGAAAAACUCCGGUGGUAUAAGAUGGACCCGCGUUGGAUUAGCUAGUUGGUGGGGUAACGGCCCACCAAGGCGACGAUCCGUAGCCGACCUGAGAGGGUGACCGGCCACAUUGGGACUGAGACACGGCCCAAACUCCUACGGGAGGCAGCAGUGGGGAAUAUUGCACAAUGGGCGAAAGCCUGAUGCAGCGACGCCGCGUGAGCGAAGAAGUAUUUCGGUAUGUAAAGCUCCAUCAGCAGGGAAGAUAAUGACGGUAC
RNAcentral lists this ribosomal RNA (452 nucleotides) under uncultured bacterium. RNAcentral's name for it is "bacterial SSU rRNA". It matches the Rfam family "Bacterial small subunit ribosomal RNA", at positions 28 to 478 of the family's 1533-position model. The record is from RNAcentral.